Molecule: ribosomal RNA, 882 nt
Filed under: Vibrio splendidus FF-6
Lineage: Bacteria; Pseudomonadati; Pseudomonadota; Gammaproteobacteria; Vibrionales; Vibrionaceae
Description: bacterial LSU rRNA
Rfam family: Bacterial large subunit ribosomal RNA
Source: RNAcentral
AAAGGGUGAUAGCCCCGUAACCGACACAUCAUAAUCAGUGAAAACGAGUAGGGCGGGACACGUGAUAUCCUGUCUGAAUAUGGGGGGACCAUCCUCCAAGGCUAAAUACUACUGACUGACCGAUAGUGAACCAGUACCGUGAGGGAAAGGCGAAAAGAACCCCUGUGAGGGGAGUGAAAUAGAACCUGAAACCGUGUACGUACAAGCAGUAGGAGCACCUUCGUGGUGUGACUGCGUACCUUUUGUAUAAUGGGUCAGCGACUUAAUUUUAGUAGCAAGGUUAACCGUUUAGGGGAGCCGUAGGGAAACCGAGUCUUAACUGGGCGUACAGUUGCUAGGAUUAGACCCGAAACCAGGUGAUCUAGCCAUGGGCAGGUUGAAGGUUGAGUAACAUCAACUGGAGGACCGAACCGACUAAUGUUGAAAAAUUAGCGGAUGACUUGUGGCUAGGGGUGAAAGGCCAAUCAAACCUGGAGAUAGCUGGUUCUCCCCGAAAGCUAUUUAGGUAGCGCCUCGGACGAAUACUACUGGGGGUAGAGCACUGUUAAGGCUAGGGGGUCAUCCCGACUUACCAACCCUUUGCAAACUCCGAAUACCAGUAAGUACUAUCCGGGAGACACACGGCGGGUGCUAACGUCCGUCGUGGAGAGGGAAACAACCCAGACCGCCAGCUAAGGUCCCAAAGUAUAGCUAAGUGGGAAACGAUGUGGGAAGGCUCAGACAGCCAGGAUGUUGGCUUAGAAGCAGCCAUCAUUUAAAGAAAGCGUAAUAGCUCACUGGUCGAGUCGGCCUGCGCGGAAGAUGUAACGGGGCUAAGCUAUACACCGAAGCUGCGGCUACGUACCUUAGGGUAUGUGGGGUAGGGGAGCGUUCUGUAAGCCG